RNAcentral lists this long non-coding RNA (529 nucleotides) under Carassius auratus (goldfish). Its description in RNAcentral is "lncRNA (ENSCARG00000026960.1)". The record is from RNAcentral. Lineage: Eukaryota; Metazoa; Chordata; Actinopteri; Cypriniformes; Cyprinidae.
AUGUGGCGAUCUGUGAGAGGAUUAUGGAGGCGGAGUAACCACAUAAAAAGAGAAGUGCAGAGACCAUGAAAAAGGGUUGUUGAUUCUUUUUGGUCGUUCGUUCUUCCGGCUAUUCUUCCGGGUUGGCUUGCCCCAGUGUGUGGUUCUUCUCUUUGGAUGUGUUCCCCUAGGAGAGGUGAAUUCCUGGGACGUUUGGGCUGGCGUGUGGAGGUAUUGAGGACUAUUGUGGGGUUUCGGCUAUCUGCUGUGCAACAGAUAUAUCAGCGAUCGAGUGGAGAUAUUCAGGACAGAAAGAGUGUGAGUUCUGGAAAGCAAGUGAAGACCAGACCGCGCCAUCGCUAUCGGAGGGAAGUUAAGAGACCUGAUCUGGGACUUCGAUCAAUUGUAUACAUCUGGACUGGGAGUGAUAACGUUGUGAAGUGGACGGAGUCAUCGUUGGAUCGCAGGAUCCUUUGGGCCGAACGCCGCAUGUGAUGUCCCUAUGAAAAGAGGUGGACACGAGAAUUAUUCCUUUUCCCGGUCUCGACCG